This 468-nucleotide ribosomal RNA is filed under the name uncultured bacterium. Its description in RNAcentral is "partial 16S ribosomal RNA". It matches the Rfam family "Bacterial small subunit ribosomal RNA", at positions 28 to 507 of the family's 1533-position model. The record is from RNAcentral.
GACGAACGCUGGCGGCGUGCUUAACACAUGCAAGUCGAACGGAAAGGCCCUGCUUUUGUGGGGUGCUCGAGUGGCGAACGGGUGAGUAACACGUGAGUAACCUGCCCUUGACUUUGGGAUAACUUCAGGGAACUGGGGCUAAUACCGGAUAGAAGCUCCUGCUGCAUGGUGGGGGUUGGAGAGUUUCGGCGGUUGGGGAUGGACUCGCGGCUUAUCAGCUUGUUGGUGGGGUAGUGGCUUACCAAGGCUUUGACGGGUAGCCGGCCUGAGAGGGUGACCGGCCACAUUGGGACUGAGAUACGGCCCAGACUCCUACGGGAGGCAGCAGUGGGGAAUAUUGCACAAUGGGCGGAAGCCUGAUGCAGCAACGCCGCGUGCGGGAUGACGGCCUUCUGGUUGUAAACCGCUUUCGCCUGUGACGAAGCGUGAGUGACGGUAAUGGGUAAAGAAGCACCGGCUAACUACGUG